Molecule: ribosomal RNA, 460 nt
Filed under: uncultured bacterium
Lineage: Bacteria
Description: partial 16S ribosomal RNA
Rfam family: Bacterial small subunit ribosomal RNA
Source: RNAcentral
CCUACGGGAGGCAGCAGUGAGGAAUAUUGGUCAAUGGGCGCUAGCCUGAACCAGCCAAGUAGCGUGAAGGAUGACUGUCCUAUGGGUUGUAAACUUCUUUUAUAUGGGAAUAAAGUGCAGUAUGUAUACUGCUUUGCAUGUACCUUAUGAAUAAGGAUCGGCUAACUCCGUGCCAGCAGCCGCGGUAAUACGGAGGAUCCGAGCGUUAUCCGGAUUUAUUGGGUUUAAAGGGAGCGUAGGCGGGUUGUUAAGUCAGUGGUGAAAGUUUGCGGCGCAACCGUAAAAUUGCCGUUGAUACUGGCAUCCUGGAGUGCAGUAGAGGUAGGCGGAAGUCGUGGUGUAGCGGUGAAAUGCAUAGAUAUCACGAAGAACUCCGAUUGCGAAGGCAGCCUGCUGGACUAUAACUGACGCUGAUGCUCGAAAGUGUGGGUAGCAAACAGGAUUAGAUACCCCUGUAGUC